Molecule: long non-coding RNA, 2227 nt
Filed under: Phasianus colchicus (ring-necked pheasant)
Lineage: Eukaryota; Metazoa; Chordata; Aves; Galliformes; Phasianidae
Description: lncRNA (ENSPCLG00000010182.1)
Source: RNAcentral
UAUUAUUUGUGUGUAACUGUUUGGUGGUGUUUAUUGAGGAGGGAGGUUUGUAUAAGGGCAGAUUGGUGUUUGCACACCUAGUAGUGAAUUGUUCUUUAUUCGUCCUCUGUGUCCAUAAUUUUUUGGGUCUGGAAAACAGGAAGCAGAGGAAUAGCUGAACAACCACCACCCAUAGCAACAGAAAGCAGAUAAAUCCAAAAGUCAUUUAUUUUGCUUCUCCAAAAAUGUUGCCCUCCCCUCAAACUGAGGGGUUCCCCGCAGGCUGGGUUUUGCCAUCAUGUCUGGGAAUGGCUGGGCUGACUUCAGUGCUCUCCCCUCCACAGGCAGAGGGAUGCAGGGCAGCCCCAGAAACUGCAGGGCUUGAUAUCCAGCACAGCUCAUAGGGCUCAAGGUGUCCCAGAAAUGUACUCAGGGAUUAAAUUGCUCCCACACCCAUCCUAACCAGCAGCAGCGCUGUGUCCCAAGGGCACCAUUGGCCACAUCACUAUGCCAGCAGCACUUCACCCCCUUUGGGGCUCUGUAUUUAUUCCCUGACUGGGUAUUACCUGUAGUGAAACCCAUGAUUACCAAGGAAAAAAGAAAAAGGGUAUCAAGUGCAGCAUACAAAAACAAACAAACAAAAAAAAACCAACCCCACAAAACCCCAGAUGGCUUUGGUCACUUUGGCUGAGAGAUGCACUUUUUCUUCCAAUAAAAGCCCAAAUUGAAAUCCCAUCUGCUAUACAGGAGCCAUCUGCAUAAUUCAGAAGUGUGAAAAACAAUCAGCCUCUUCUUUCCCUUCCCCAGCCUCCCAUCUCAUCAUCUUGUUUCCCUGGGGUGCUGCAGCCCUCUGUUAUUUAAGCCUGGAGUGAUGGGGAAUGCUGUGAGCCACCCAUUCCAGCCCCAGGAGGCAGGCUCCUGGGGGAGGCUCAGCUUUUUGCAAUCAGGAUGAUUAAUUGUGGACUCACACAAAAACCCAAGAGAGGGAAAAAAAACAAAAAAAGGCUUUUUGCAGGUUCCUUAGUAGAAUGUGUAGUUAUAGGGGCAGUCUUCCUGGUUUGUUCUUGUUUGAUAUCAUCUGUUUAUUCCAUUGAUGCUUCAAGAAUAAGUGAUACAAAGCCCUCUACCAUUUGGGAAGUAGAUCUGUGCCUUCUCAAGAUUUUGCUCAUUCUUGGCAGCUUGGCAGGGCAGAAUGGGCUGGCUGUAGGACCCCGAAGGAAGAAGCACGACCAGCCACCAGAUGUGUGACCUCCUCACCCUGCUGGCAGCACUGAACGUCCUUUCCUGUAAACUUCUCUGAGGUUGUAUUUUCCUUUCUCUUCCCAGCCCUCAGCUGCUGGUUAUUAUCAUUAUCAGGCAUAAAUGGCUUCUUUCACACUCCAUAUGGUGAGUGCUCCUAUGAAUAAGAUCUUAGUACCCCAAAAAGGUUUGCAUGAGGUUCAGACAGUGUUUUGCAACUAAAUUAAUACGAGAAAGGAAUGUUUUGAACCCAUCUCCCUUUGUAGGCAAGGGGAUAUUUCCAUAUUAUUGGAUCAAGUAUGUGCGUCAUAGAUCUGCAAAGGAAAAAGAGCGCAAGAGUAAGAUCUUUUCUUAGGGGAAGGAAAUGUGUUAGGAAGUACAGCAAGUUCAAAAAUUGAGCAGUGGGAAAGUAUUGAGAUCUUGAUUCAAGUUGCAGUCCAUGUGAACAGUUUUUCUGCAGCAGUGACAGCAGCUCUCUUAAAAAGGGAUCUGACAGAGGUUACCUAUUUCUAGUAUCAGGUGAGAAUAUAUACAUAGAUAUCUGACGUGAAAAAGACACUGUAAGAUUCCCCUUAUGCUGUGGUUUGAAAUUAUCACCCAUCACAUCUAUGCACUGAGGGCAUUCUGGAUGCAAAUGCUACUUCUAAUUUGCAUUCGGGGCUGAAAAUAGCUGAAUGCAGGUUAUGGUUACGGGCAUGUGGAUAUCAAAAAGCCUCCAACCGCAUCCUGUUACAACUAAUGGUCUGUGUUUGCAGCACUUUAUGUUGGAAUGCCCUCAAAUAUCACAAAGUAAGCAGAGCAGGAUGGCUGGGAGGGAAGGAGAGGGAAGGAUCCUGUGGCCUUGGCAGAGCUCAUUGCAUUGCACUGAUCCCUUCUACGGUCAUGGGGUCAGUGCACUGGACACGGGCAAACUGGAAAAUACACAGACUGAGACUGGACUCAAAGAAUCAUAAAAUAGUCUGAGUUGGAAGGGACCUACAAAGACCAUCGUGUCCAACUCCUGGCUCCA